GAUGAACGCUGGCGGCGUGCCUAAUACAUGCAAGUCGAGCGAAUGGAUUAAGAGCUUGCUCUUAUGAAGUUAGCGGCGGACGGGUGAGUAACACGUGGGUAACCUGCCCAUAAGACUGGGAUAACUCCGGGAAACCGGGACUAAUACCGGAUAACAUUUUGAACCGCAUGGUUCGAAAUUGAAAGGCGGCUUCGGCUGUCACUUAUGGAUGGACCCGCGUCGCAUUAGCUAGUUGGUGAGGUAACGGCUCACCAAGGCAACGAUGCGUAGCCGACCUGAGAGGGUGACCGGCCACACUGGGACCGAGACACGGCCCAGACUCCUACGGGAGGCAGCAGUAGGGAAUCUUCCGCAAUGGACGAAAGUCUGACGGAGCAACGCCGCGUGAGUGAUGAAGGCUUUCGGGCCGUAAAACUCUGUUGUUAGGGAAGAACAAGUGCUAGUUGAAUAAGCUGGCACCUUGACGGUACCUAACCAGAAAGCCACGGCUAACUACGUGCCAGCCGCCGCGGUAA
This 515-nucleotide ribosomal RNA is filed under the name uncultured bacterium. RNAcentral describes it as "partial 16S ribosomal RNA". It matches the Rfam family "Bacterial small subunit ribosomal RNA", at positions 28 to 523 of the family's 1533-position model. The record is from RNAcentral.